AGAGUUUGAUCCUGGCUCAGGAUUAACGCUAGCGGCAGGCUUAACACAUGCAAGUCGAACGGUAAGGUCCUUUCGGGGAUACACGAGUGGCGCACGGGUGAGUUACGCGUAUGCAACCUACCAUUAACUGGGAGAUAGCUUCGAGAAAUCGAAAUUAAUACCCCAUAACAUUCCGAAUUCGCAUGUUUUCGGGAUUAAAGCUCCGGCGGUUUUUGAUGGGCAUGCGUGGCAUUAGUUUGUUGGUGAGGUAACGGCUCACCAAGACUGCGAUGCCUAGGGGAUCUGAGAGGAUGACCCCCCACACUGGUACUGAGACACGGACCAGACUCCUACGGGAGGCAGCAGUGAGGAAUAUUGGGCAAUGGGCGCAAGCCUGACCCAGCCAUGCCGCGUGCAGGAUUGACUGCCUUAUGGGUUGUAAACUGCUUUUAUACAGGAAGAACUUCCCGCUCGUGAGCGGGACUGACGGUACUGUAAGAAUAAGGAUCGGCUAACUCCGUGCCAGCAGCCGCGGUAAUACGGAGGAUCCAAGCGUUAUCCGGAUUUAUUGGGUUUAAAGGGUGCGUAGGCGGGAUAAUAAGUCAGUGGUGAAAUCUUUCGGCUUAACCGGAACAUUGCCAUUGAAACUGUUAUUCUUGAGUACAGUUGAGGUGGGCGGAAUGUGUCAUGUAGCGGUGAAAUGCUUAGAUAUGACACAGAACGCCGAUUGCGUAGGCAGCUCACUAAACUGUUACUGACGCUGAGGCACGAAAGCGUGGGGAGCGAACAGGAUUAGAUACCCUGGUAGUCCACGCCGUAAACGAUGAUUACUCGAUGUGUGCGAUAAACAGUACGCGUCUGAGCAAAAGCAUUAAGUAAUCCACCUGGGGAGUACGACCGCAAGGUUGAAACUCAAAGGAAUUGACGGGGGCCCGCACAAGCGGAGGAACAUGUGGUUUAAUUCGAUGAUACGCGAGGAACCUUACCUGGGCUUAAAUGUUUUUUGAUCUCCCUGGAAACAGGGAUUCCCUUCGGGGCAAAUUGCAAGGUGCUGCAUGGCUGUCGUCAGCUCGUGCCGUGAGGUGUCGGGUUAAGUCCCAUAACGAGCGCAACCCCUAUCAUUAGUUGCCAGCGGGUAAUGCCGGGAACUCUAAUGAAACUGCCCGCGUAAGCGGUGAGGAAGGUGGGGAUGACGUCAAGUCAGCACGGCCCUUAUGUCCAGGGCUACACACGUGUUACAAUGGUCGGUACAGAAAGCAGCGACUUGGUGACAAGAAGCUAAUCUCAAAAAUCGGUCUCAGUUCGGAUCGGAGUCUGCAAUUCGACUUCGUGAAGUUGGAUUCGCUAGUAAUCGCGCAUCAGCAACGGCGCGGUGAAUACGUUCCCGGGCCUUGUACACACCGCCCGUCAAGCCAUGGAAGCUGGGGGUGCCUGAAGUUCGUAACCGCAAGGAUCGACCUAGGGUAAAACCAGUGACUGGGGCUAAGUCGGAACAAGGUA
RNAcentral lists this ribosomal RNA (1479 nucleotides) under metagenome. RNAcentral's name for it is "bacterial SSU rRNA". It matches the Rfam family "Bacterial small subunit ribosomal RNA". The record is from RNAcentral.